AUGCACGCUAGCUACAGGCUUAACACAUGCACGUCGAGGGGAAACGACAUCGAAAGCUUGCUUUUGAUGGGCGUCGACCGGCGCACGGGUGAGUAACGCGUAUCCAACCUGCCCAUCACUUGGGGAUAACCUUGCGAAAGUAAGACUAAUACCCAAUGAUAUCUCUAGAAGACAUCUGAAAGAGAUUAAAGAUUUAUCGGUGAUGGAUGGGGAUGCGUCUGAUUAGCUUGUUGGCGGGGUAACGGCCCACCAAGGCAACGAUCAGUAGGGGUUCUGAGAGGAAGGUCCCCCACAUUGGAACUGAGACACGGUCCAAACUCCUACGGGAGGCAGCAGUGAGGAAUAUUGGUCAAUGGGCGAGAGCCUGAACCAGCCAAGUAGCGUGCAGGAAGACGGCCCUAUGGGUUGUAAACUGCUUUUAUAAGGGAAUAAAGUGAGAGUCGUGACUCUUUUUGUAUGUACCUUAUGAAUAAGGACCGGCUAAUUCCGUG
Molecule: ribosomal RNA, 491 nt
Filed under: uncultured bacterium
Lineage: Bacteria
Description: partial 16S ribosomal RNA
Rfam family: Bacterial small subunit ribosomal RNA
Source: RNAcentral